UGGGGGAUAUUGCACAAUGGGCGAAAGCCUGAUGCAGCGACGCCGCGUGGGGGAUGAAGGCUUUCGGGUUGUAAACCUCUUUCGCUAUCGAACAAGGCCCGCUUAGGGUGGGUUGAGGGUAGGUGGAGAAGAAGCGCCGGCUAACUACGUGCCAGCAGCCGCGGUAAUACGUAGGGCGCGAGCGUUGUCCGGUAUUAUUUGGCGUAAAGGGCUUGUAGGCGGCUUGUUGCGCCUGCUGUGAAAACGCGGGGCUUAACUUCGCGGGGGCAGGGGGUACGGGCAGGCUUGAGUGUGGUAGGGGUGACUGGAAUUCCAGGUGUAGCGGUGGAAUGCGCAGAUAUCUGGAGGAACACCGAUGGCGAAGGCAGGUCACUGGGCCAUUACUGACGCUGAGGAGCGAAAGCAUGGGUAGCGAACAGG
Molecule: ribosomal RNA, 420 nt
Filed under: bacterium
Lineage: Bacteria
Description: partial 16S ribosomal RNA
Rfam family: Bacterial small subunit ribosomal RNA
Source: RNAcentral